AGUGAACUCCACUCUGCGGCGCUGCUGCUGGCUCGGGGCCCAGCUCAGGGGGAGGCAGGAGGAGGGGUUUCAACGACGACAACGAUCAGAUAAGACACAGCGCAGGCAGAUGACUUCAGCACAUUGUGGUGGCUCAAAGACUCCUCGCGAUUCCCCCCAGACUGUUUCUCAGAGUGUGGGGUCAUACAAGGGUGAGCUCUCACUACCUCCGAAGGUUAUUCAGAAGUCACCAGCAUUCACCAGUCUUGAACUAGUGUGGGGUUAGUGCUCAAGAUGACCAGUGACUUCACAAGGCCCCUCCCUGUAGGUUUGAGGAUAAGCCCACCCCAUCCCACAACCCCCACAUACUCUGUCCCCUCAUUGUAAAUGACCUAUUAAAGAACACAACACCACGGUAAACAAGAUGAAUGGCUUUUUUUCCAACCCAUCUCACACCAAUCAAGGCUUUCUGUUUAAACCCCCUUUCUUAAGUCUAUUAGAUCAUGUUAAUUUAUUAAAGUCAAACUGAAGAAUUAAAAUGGUCAUUUGUCACUGCUGUCUUUGUGUGGGCUUAAUGGUGGCACAUGGUGUAAGGCCUGCAAUUUGUUAUCCUCUCCUUUUUGUUCUUUUUUAAGCCUUUUUUUUGGGUUAAACAUGAAAAGAAAUCAAGCUGCACUCAGUUUCUUGUGGCAUAACUGUCUGCUAAUCAUACAUUUUAUACAUUUUUAUACUUUGCUCAGUCGUUUCGGUGUUAUUGACGGUACACCCAAGUACACCAAAAAUUCUAUUUGUGUCGUCCUUGUUCCAAAUCUAUAUUAAUUUCUUUUUUUAUGCACACAAAACAAAAUAUAAUGGAUGGUCAGUGGCAAUAUGGGUAAAUGGGAAUAUAAACGGUUUGCUUACCAACAUUCUUUAAAACAUCUUCUUUCAGGUUUGACAGAAGAAAGUAAGCCAUACAGGUUUAUUCAUUUAAUUGCUGGGUAGACUAUCCCUUUAAUUUAAUUUGUUGUUAUUUUUUCUGCCUCUUUCAACCUCCAUCAUGUUUCUUUUGCCACCUUAUCUCUAAGAUAAUCAGCCACACACUCUUUCUUACACACUAACAAACACACUCACAGUCAGAGCUGUCAGUGAGCCAAACCGUAUGCAGUAAUCCCUUUGUAUUCACAAACCCAUCCAGACAAACAAUGUGUCCCAGCCUCGUCCCACCCCCAGCACACCAGACCUAGGCCACCUGCUAACUCUACAUCAUCCACACAAACACAAACCAAAGGAUGAAGACCAGCAAGUUUGUGUCAGUGUGUGAUUUACUGUAACAUAUCUCUCUGACACGUGUGCAUGUUAUGAAUGGUCUUUCUAUUAGGAAACUGGUAACCCGUGUGCAAAUACUCUCCUUCCAGUCUGUUCUUCUUCUCUCCACUCCGCUCAUACGUUCUCCAAAUCCUCCACAAAUCCCCCUCACACAAGCUGAGAUGAUAAGUGAUCCUCUUCUGUUGUCGCUCGGAGGAGACAAUGCUCAACAACUGUGUUCAACAUCAUCAAUCUCAGAGGACAUCCAUCACACAAACAAAAGAUGAAACCUCUGCUUUCUCUCGAGUGAAAACACCCACAGAGAUGCAAGUGCAGAACAGAAACUGAGGGGUGGGAGUGAUUUUAUGGAAUUUUGAUGACAGGAAUCCUUCAGCAUCCUUCAUCCUACAUCGCUCUUCAUAUGUUUUCCAGCAGGAAGUUCUAAAAUGUUGCAAUAUGCUUUACUUUUAUUGCAUAACUCUCUGCUCGUUUUCUGAAAUCUCUCACACUAACGUUAAGUUGGGUUAAGUUGGGUGCAGAAAGCCUGAUUUUGAACAAACAUGUUCCCGUGGUGACAAAAAGACAUGGUGGUCGAUGCUCUAAUCCGUUCCGAAUGGAUGUUCUUGACGUGAAUGUUACAUUAACCUGUUAAUCCUCAGACUGUUUGUGGGAGGGGGCUGCUGGGUUUACACACAAUUAACCUGAAUAGACCAUACUGCCUUAUGAUUGGACGAAAGCCUCAAAACCCUCUUACUCGAAUGAGUUCAUGUCAUUGGAAGCUUUUACCUUAAAACACUCUAAAAUGAAUGACUUUUAUAUUGCUUAACAUGGCUGUUUUUGCCAUAAAAACCUAACCUAUGUUCACAUAAACCGAUGAGUACAAGCAAAAAGAUAAUAUUAUUUUAAUCUGACGCUCAAUCUAUGAAGGUUUUGUUUCAUUUUUAGUAAGCAACUGCUUUAUUUUAAAUAAAUAAAUAAAUGUAGGUUUAGGCUUUUGAAAACACAAGAACAGGCCAUGGGUAAAGUGUGUAAAAGGGUCAGAUCCAGCCGAGAUUGUUGUAGACCACCUCAGGUUAAGCUGACAAUGUCCUGGGAAGACCAACAGGAUUAUAGCUAUGAACACCUGUUACAGAUCUUCAAACCAGCUAGUGUGACCUGAUGCUUGACAUUUAGAAACUUAACAAGGAAGAUGAAGAGCCAAUGAAUAUGCAACCUGUUCUACCUGUUCAGAUAGUUGGCUUUGCAAAACAGUUUUAUUAUUCCUAGAAUUUUUUAUUUCAUGCGUUGUGCAGUUUCUAUUGUCAGUUUGACGUUGGCUAACUUCUGUGCCUGUUAAUUGUUUUAUUGUGUUUGGCUGUCACUCAAAAAGCAAUUACAA
Puntigrus tetrazona (Sumatra barb) is the source of this 2644-nucleotide long non-coding RNA. RefSeq lists it as uncharacterized. Lineage: Eukaryota; Metazoa; Chordata; Actinopteri; Cypriniformes; Cyprinidae. The record is from RefSeq and is a predicted model, not a curated record. The transcript is spliced from 3 exons.